This 73-nucleotide transfer RNA is filed under the name Stegodyphus mimosarum. It matches the Rfam family "tRNA". From Rfam's summary of the family: Transfer RNA (tRNA) molecules are approximately 80 nucleotides in length. Their secondary structure includes four short double-helical elements and three loops (D, anti-codon, and T loops). Lineage: Eukaryota; Metazoa; Arthropoda; Arachnida; Araneae; Eresidae. The record is from Rfam by way of RNAcentral.
GCCUUCGUGGUGUAAUGGUCAGCACACUCGGCGAGUAAUCGAGGGGUCCGAGGUUCAAGUCCCGGUGUGGGCA